CAUUAUCAAGAGGAUGGAGUAUGUCGCAAUUUAAAUCACCCAAGCAAAUUAUAUUUGGUCGGUUAUAUUUGGUCGGUUUGAAUUACCAACCAAUCCAAUCGGCUUCAACCCAAUUCAAACCAUCACCCGGGAGUUAGCCGUUAGCCGAUUAGGUCCAUUGGUGCGGUGAUCAAAGAUCGUCGAAGUUCAAAUACAUAGAAGUGCAUAUUCUUUUGUUCCUUUGAAACCAUAAUCUCUGAUGCGAGCGUGUAAACAAAAAGUCCAUCUAUAAAAGAAAUGCACUCAGUCGUCUCAUUGACAAAUAACAAGAUCCAUCGUGAGGUCGACUUGCAACAAGAUGAAGCUACUUGUGGUGGUUCUCUUUCUGGCUGUGCUCAGCGUAAGAGGGUUCAAUAAAGAAGAACGGCGAUUCCUUAAAGAGCUGUUAACACGACGUACUGAAAGCAAUGUUAUACAGGACGAGAUAUUGGACUGUGGUGUUUAUAAUUCCUUAACGACCGGCUGUUGCAAUGGAAAGCUUUUCAAUUUGGAGACUCAUGAAUGCUGUGGGAAAAGAAGAAUUGACAAAUCCAAGUAUGGAUGCUGCGAUGGUCACUACUUCUACAAGAAAACUAAAAAAUGUUGCGAUGGAGUUAUAAAAGGGACAUUUUUCAAGAAAACCUGCUGAAUAUCUUUUCUGAAAGCAGUAGUCUUUCCUAAUAUAUAUGGAGAAAACAUCACACUGCAGCUUUGAAUAAUAAAUCUUUUUUCAAUUUUGUCAGGCUGAGCCAAACCCUAAAAUCAAA
Molecule: long non-coding RNA, 785 nt
Organism: Exaiptasia diaphana
Lineage: Eukaryota; Metazoa; Cnidaria; Anthozoa; Actiniaria; Aiptasiidae
Exons: 3
Source: RefSeq, a predicted model, not a curated record